Long non-coding RNA from Gorilla gorilla gorilla (western lowland gorilla), 2365 nucleotides. RefSeq lists it as uncharacterized. The record is from RefSeq and is a predicted model, not a curated record. The transcript is spliced from 3 exons. Lineage: Eukaryota; Metazoa; Chordata; Mammalia; Primates; Hominidae.
CUUUGACUUUAAUUUUCCUUUACCUACCCAAAUCGUAUAAAAUGGCCCCACGCCGAUCCCUUCGCUGACUCUCUUUUCAGACUCAGCCCACCUGCACCCAGGUGAUUAAAAGCUUUAUUGCUCACACAAAGCCUGUUUGGUGGUCUCUUCACACUGAUGCGCAUGAAAUUUGGUGCCGUGACUCGGAUCGGGGGACCUCCCUUGGGAGAUCAAUCCCCUGUCCUCCUGUUCUUUGCUCCGUGAGAAAGAUCCACCUACGACCUCAGGUCCUCAGACCGACCAGCCCAAGAAACAUCUCACCAAUUUUAAAUCAGCCACUUCCAGAGGCCCUGGAACUCUGGCCCAAGGCUCUCUGACUGCUUCCCAGAUCUUCUCGGCUUAGCAGCUGAAGACUGACGCUGCCCGAUCGCCUCGGAAGCCCCCUAGACCAUCAUGGACGCCGAGCUUCAGGGCACCAGAAAACCCCAAGACCAGGAUUGAGCAUUCCUUUCACUCAGCCACAAGAGAGGACCCAGGAGCCAAAAGAAGCCAGGAAGCCCCAUCUCCUCUCUCUGCCAUCGGCAGCAGCACUGCUACCCAGGCAAAUCCUUUUUCUCCUGUUCCCCAAGUGAGGGCUCCUGACAGAAAGCCAGAGCUGAAGAUUAAAACAAUGGCAUGGAAUGGAAUCCUACACCUCUAAUUGGACAAAACCAGAGAAAAGUAUCAGAACGGGGCAAGAGGACAUCCACAGAGCAAGGAGGCACAGAGGUUGGCUUCAUAGCUGAGCACCCUUGAGUUGUCUCCUAACUUUUCUGUCUUGUAUCACAGUUCCCUACCCUCAACCCAUAGGGGAGUCAUGAGGAUCAAGGAAAUAAUCCAUGCAAAAAGCAUUUCCAAAGUUCCUGCCUUAAUUUUUUAAUCUAUAAAAUGGAUGGAGCAACAGCAUCUACCUCAUAGGGUUAUUGCAAAGGUUAAAUAUACAUAAAGCAUUUAGAAUAGGGGCAGAGUUAAGAGUAAGCAUUUAUGGCCAGAUGCGGUUGCUCACGCCUGUAAUCCCAACACUUUGGGAGGCCACGGUGGGUGGAUCAUGAGGUCAGGAGUUCGAGACCACCCUGGCCAACACGGUGAAACCCCAUCUCUACAAAAGAUACAAAAAAGUUAGCCUGGCGUGGUGGCGGGUGCCUGUAAUUCCAGCUACUCAGGAGGCUGAGGCAGGAGAAUCACUUGAACCCAGGAGGCGGAGGUUGCAGUGAGCUGAGAUCAGGCCAUUGUACUCUAGCCUGGACGACAGAGAGACUCCGUCUCAAAAAAAAAAAGAAAAAAAAAAAAGAGUAAGCAUUUAUAUAGGAUUUGUAUAAGCAUUCAUUAUUGUAACAAUCGGGUCUGGGCAGGGCAUACGUAGUGCAGAUAAGAGUUUAACUGAAGAGUUAUUUAAUGUUGAUACUAUUUACACAGGUGGUAGCAGGUUUCAGGAAUCAAUGAAGCAUGGUGAAAGGACCAAGAACUAGCCUGAGGCUGGAGCUGUGCAAGAGGCAAGGUGGGGAUUGGAGGAAUGAACACACCAACCUUUCUCUCCUCCCACCUUCUGAUCUCCUCUGUAUGUCUCCAUUGCCAAAUCAGCCAGAAGCAGAGGGCAAGUGAGCCCACAAGAAGCAGUCCAUGGGUUCAGUUUUGAGGGGCAUAGAGCUUGGAUCUGAUGGAGGAGAAAAACCAAGAUAACUAGCACAGCUAUUCUUAGCAGUGAAGUUGGCAUUAGUAUUAAUAUUAGUAUUAACCAUUGCAAAUUAAUAUUAUUGCUAUUACCAUUGUGUAUCUCUAGUAACAGGACCUGUUUCUUUUAUUAUAGAUCUGAGUUUUCGGCUUUGUGUAUAUUUUAUUUAACGGGGCCUGACUUUCUGUUUGAAGGAUUUGUUGAUGUGGCUCUUUUCAUUUGAGCAGCUGUUGUUGCCAGUGAAUUAAAGAGUAACCAGGGCUCAAAGUGAUUUGAGUCUGGUCCUGAUUUGGAAUCCACUGUGUGGAGCCCAUCCAUCCUUAGCAACCUCAGUUUCCUUUAUUAUAAAAAGGAAAAAAAAGUUAUAGCUCUUACAGCAGAGUUGUAAGAAAGACUACCCUGCCAGAACUGUUCAAAUAUGAGGAAUUGGCAAAUAUAAAAUUCUAAAAUAUUUCUUAAUAAUAUGCACAAGUUCUGACUUAACAAGCAUGGCAUAUUGUGACUACCCUGUUAAAAAAAUCCGCUGAUCAUUUUUCACAACUUAUUUAUUCUUGGUGCCUAUUUCCUUUCCAAGGAAGGAAAAGGGAUAAAAGAACUUUAACAUCUUUUUUCGUUACCAAGUGCUUUUUACAUUAUUCCUGAAAUUCACUUCUACACGCAGAAUAUAUUUAGGAG